This 490-nucleotide ribosomal RNA is filed under the name uncultured bacterium. RNAcentral's name for it is "partial 16S ribosomal RNA". It matches the Rfam family "Bacterial small subunit ribosomal RNA", at positions 28 to 507 of the family's 1533-position model. The record is from RNAcentral.
GAUGAACGCUAGCGAUAGGCUUAACACAUGCAAGUCGAGGGGCAGCAUGGUCUUAGCUUGCUAAGACUGAUGGCGACCGGCGCACGGGUGCGUAACGCGUAUGCAACUUGCCUCACAGAGGGGGAUAACCCGUCGAAAGACGGACUAAUACCGCGUACACUCCAUCUUGGGCAUCCAAGGUAGAGGAAAUGAAAUUCGCUGUGAGAUAGGCAUGCGUCCCAUUAGCUAGUUGGUGAGGUAACGGCUCACCAAGGCGACGAUGGGUAGGGGAACUGAGAGGUUGAACCCCCACACUGGUACUGAGACACGGACCAGACUCCUACGGGAGGCAGCAGUGAGGAAUAUUGGUCAAUGGGCGAGAGCCUGAACCAGCCAAGUCGCGUGAAGGAUGACUGUCUUAUGGAUUGUAAACUUCUUUUAUACGGGAAUAACAAGAGUCACGUGUGACUCCCUGCAUGUACCGCAUGAAUAAGCAUCGGCUAACUCCGUG